This 460-nucleotide ribosomal RNA is filed under the name uncultured bacterium. RNAcentral describes it as "partial 16S ribosomal RNA". It matches the Rfam family "Bacterial small subunit ribosomal RNA", at positions 338 to 795 of the family's 1533-position model. The record is from RNAcentral.
CCUACGGGAGGCAGCAGUGAGGAAUAUUGGGCAAUGGACGAGAGUCUGAACCAGCCAAGCAGCGUGAAGGAUGACUGCCCUAUGGGUGGUAAACUUCUUUUAUAGGGGAAUAAAAUGUUGCACGUGUGGGAUUUUGUAUGUACCAUAUGAAUAAGGAUAGGCUAACUCCGUGCCAGCAGCCGCGGUAAUACGGAGGUUCCGAGCGUUAUCCGGAUUUAUUGGGGUUAAGGGGCGCGUAGGUGGAUUGUUAAGUCAGUUGUGAAAGUUUGCGGCUCAACCGUAAAACUGCAGUUGAAACUGGCAGUCUUGAGUGCAGUAGAGGUGGGCGGAAUUCGGGGUGUAGCGGUGAAAUGCUUAGAUAUCACGAAGAACUCCGAUUGCGAAGGCAGCUCACUGGACUGCAACUGACACUGAGGCUCGAAAGUGUGGGUAUCAAACAGGAUUAGAUACCCGAGUAGUC